GAUGAAGAACGUAGUGAAAUGCGAUAAGUAAUGUGAAUUGCAGAAUUCAGUGAAUCAUCGAAUCUUUGAACGCACCUUGCGCUCUUUGGUAUUCCGAAGAGCAUGCCUGUUUGAGUGUCAUGAAAAUAUCAACCUUGACUUGGGUUUUGUGCUCUAGUCUCGGCUUGGAAUUGGGUGCUUGCCGCUUUUACGAGCGGCUCACCUUAAAUGUAUUAGCUGGAUCUGUCUUUGAGACUUGGUUUGACUUGGCGUAAUAAGUAUUUCGCUAAGGACAUUCUUCGGAGUGGCCUCGUUUCUAGGACGCUUGUCCGCUUUCCAAUACAAGUUCCACCUCGUGGACAUGACUUUUUAUUAUCUGGCCUCAAAUCAGGUAGGACUACCCGCUGAACUUAAGCAUAUCAGUAAGCGGAGGA
RNAcentral lists this unclassified non-coding RNA (413 nucleotides) under soil metagenome. RNAcentral's name for it is "partial contains 5.8S ribosomal RNA, internal transcribed spacer 2, and large subunit ribosomal RNA". The stretch from base 1 to 120 matches the Rfam family "5.8S ribosomal RNA", at positions 35 to 154 of the family's 154-position model. The record is from RNAcentral.